CGACCCUAGGUCAGGCAGGAUUACCCGCUGAGUUUAAGCAUAUCAAUAAGCGGAGGAAAAGAAACUUACAAGGAUUCCCUUAGUAACGGCGAGCAAAUCGGGAACAACCCAGCCUUAGAAUCGGGCGGCUCCGUCAUUCGAAUUAUAGUUUGGAGAAGCAUCCUCAGCAGCGGACUUGGCCCAAGUCCCUUGGAAGGGGGCGCCAGAGAAGGUUAGAACCCCAUUUUGCUCAAACCCUGUCGCACAAUGAGGCACUGUGUACGAGUUAGGUUGAUUGGGAAUGCAGCCUAAAUCGGGCAGUGAAUUCUGUCCAAAGCUAAAUACGAGCGACAGACCGAUAGCGAAAAGUACCGUGAGGGAAAGAUGAAAAGGACUUUGAAAAGAGAGUCAAAGAGUGCUUGAAAUUAUCAGGAGGGAAGCGGAUAGGGACUGGCUAUGCACCCCUGUCGGAUAUGUAAUGGCGACGAGCCGAUCCGUCGAUCAACCCGGGGCAUGGACCAGCGUGGAUUGGGAGACAUCCAAAGCCCGGGCUCUCAAUACGCUCAUGGAACGCUAUCUCCUCGAUUGUGGCAGGCAGCUCCGGUGUGCUUCAGCAUCUGCGAGCUACGGAUUCUGGCCUGUAGGCUCCCUCAUUCAACUCAUCUUGAAAAAUAGAACAAGGAGUCUGACAUAUGUGCGAUUCAACGGGCGAGUACUCGCCCGUAAGGCGUAAGGAAAUGAAUUGGUGGUAUCCCCCUAAGGGGUGCACUACUAACCGACCUUGAUAUUCUAAGAAGGGUUCGAGUGUGAGCAUACCAGUUGGGACCCAAAAAAUGGUGAACUAUGCCUGAGCGGGGCGAAGCCAGAGGAAACUCUGAUGGAGGCCCGCAGCGAUAAUGACAUGCAAAUCGUUUGUCUGACUUGGGUGUAGGUCUCGCGACUGCUUUGUCAAUCCGUGCCACAGAAUCAAGAGCUCCAAGUGGGCCAUUUUUUGUAAACAGAACUGGCGAUGCGGGAUGAACCAAAAGCCGGUUACUGCGCCAAACUGCGCGUUAACCUAGACCCCACAAAGGGUGUUGGUCGAUUAAGACAGUAGGACGGUGUUCAUGAAAGUAAAAAUCCACUAAGAAGUGUGUAACAACUCACCUUAUGAAUAAACAAGACCCAAAAAUGGAUGGCACUUUAGCGCGUGCCCUACACUCGACCGUCGAGGAAAGUUCCAUGCCCCGAUGAGUAGGAGGCCAUCGGUACAGAUAUAGGUGGUAUUACCAAAUAUUCAAAUGAGAACUUUGAAGUCCAAAGAGGGGAAAGGUUCCAUGUGAAUAUAACUUGCAGAUGGGUUAGUCGAUCCUUAGGGUCGGAAAAACCCUGACAGAUAGAGCAUUUUGCGUACUCUAAAAGAGAAUCGGGUUAAAAUUCCUGGACCGAGAAGUGGUGGUCGACAGUAACAUUAGAAAGUCCAGAGACGUCGGCGGAAGCCUCGAGAAGGGUUGUCUUUUCUGUUAAACAGCCUGCCCACCCUAGAAUCGGCUUAGCUGGAGGUAGGAUCCAGUGGCUGGAAGAGCACCGUAUAUUGCGUGGUGUCCGGUGCACUUCUGGCAGCCCUUGAAAAUCCAAAUGACCGAAUGUUUUCCACACCUGUUCGUUAUCAUAGCCUCAUCAAGUCUCCAAGGGGAACAACCUCUGGUCGAUGGAACAAUGUAGGCAAGGAAAGUCUGGAAAAUGGCUCCGUAACUUUUAGAAAAUGAUUGGCACUGAGGGCUGGGCAUGGGGGUCCCAGUCCUGAACCCGUCGGCUGUCUGUGGACUACUCGAGAUGCUCCUGCAGUAAGAGCGGGUCGCUGCAUGCCAGUUUGGGGACGGAUUAGGAACGGUUCCUUCAGGGGCCUUCCCCGCGCGUUGAACAGCCAGCUCAAAACUGGUAUGGACAAGGGUAAUCUGACUGUUUAAUUAAAACAAAGCAUUGGGAUGGUCCCAACGGAUGUUCAAGCAUUGUCAUUUCCGCCCAGUGCUCUGAAUGUCAAAGUAAAGAAAUUCAAGAAAGUGCGGGUAAACGGCAGGAGUAAUAUGAGUCUCUUAAGGUAGCCAAAUGCCUCGUGAUCUAAUUAGUGACGCGCAUGAAUGGAUUAACGAGAUUACCACUAUACCUAUCUACUAUCUAGCGAAACCACAACCAAGGGAAUGGGUUUGGCAGAAUUAGCUAGGAAAGAAGACCCUCUUAAGCUUGACUCUACUCUAAAAGGCGAAAGCGAAAUACCAAUACUUUUAACGUUAUUUUACUUAUUUCAUGAAUCAAAAGUGGAGCACUGCCUCUCUUUUUGGACCCAAGGCUCGCUCUGCGGGCCGAUCCGGGUGGAAGACAUUGUUAGGUAAGGAGUUAGGCUGGGGCGGCAUAUCUUUUAAAAGAUAACGCAGGUGUCCUAAGAUGAGCUCAAAGAGAAUAGAAAUAUUGUGUGGAACAGAAGCGUAAAAGCUCAUUUGAUUAUGAGUUCCAGUACGAAUACGAACCAUGAAAGCGUGGCUUAACGAUCCUGUAGACCUUCAAAAUUUGAAGCUAAAGGUGUCAGAAAAGUGUUACCAUAGGGAUAACUGGCCUGUUGCAGCCAAGCGUUCAUAGUGAAAUUGCUUUUUCAUUCUUCGAUGUCGGCUCUUCCUAUCAUUGUGAAGCAGAAUUCACCAAGUGUUGGACUAUUCACCCACCAAAAGGGAAUGUGAGCUGGGUUUAGAUCAUCGUGAUAUAGGUUAGUUUUACCCUACUUAUGACAGUGUCGCAGUAAUAAUUCAACCUAGUAUGAGAGAAAAUGUUGAUUCACAUAAUUUGUCAUCGCGCUUGGUUGAAAAGCCAGUAGCACAAAGCUACCGUGUGCUGGAUUAUGAUUGAACGCCUCUAAGUCAGAAUCCGGGCUAGAAGAGACGCAUGCGCCUGCUGUCUGCUUGCCGACCCGCAGUAGAGGCCUCGUCCCCCAAGGACACGUGUCGUUUGCUAAGCCACCACGAUGGAAGAUCCACGGUAGCCACCUUGAAGUAUAAUUUCCAUCGACCGGUGGGUAGAAUACUCUGCAGACGACUUAAAUAUGCGACAGGGUAUUAUAAGGUUAAGAGUGGCCUUGCUGCCACGAUCCACUUAGAUUCAUCCCUUUGUCGCUCUGGUUCAU
This is a non-coding RNA of Capsicum annuum, 3133 nucleotides long. NCBI's taxonomy places the organism in Eukaryota, Viridiplantae, Streptophyta, Magnoliopsida, Solanales, Solanaceae. The record is from Rfam.